Long non-coding RNA from Mugil cephalus (flathead mullet), 2442 nucleotides. RefSeq lists it as uncharacterized. The transcript is spliced from 5 exons. The record is from RefSeq and is a predicted model, not a curated record. NCBI's taxonomy places the organism in Eukaryota, Metazoa, Chordata, Actinopteri, Mugiliformes, Mugilidae.
GCACUGCUCAAGACUUCAGCCAUCCUAUCCUUCACCGCUGUCUCAGUCACGUGUUGAAAAAUGCAAAAACCUUGUGCAAAGUGCUUAUUAAGACAAUGCAAUAAUUUGUAUUUCUCUCGUAGUGCGCCCAAGAACUACAAGCUGGCCAUGCAUGUGUUUGGACUGUUGACAUCAGCAAGUUCCAUGCUCCUCAGCUGUCAUCUUCUCCAGUCCAUGCAGCUCAAAAAAUGUUGAGAAGCACUUUAACAACAUUCAAACAAUGCUGACAACCAUUGGGGACUCAACUGUUGAUGACAGCAGCACUGUUCCUGAGAAUCUUGAGGACGCCUUUGGUCCAACACCUUUUCAGCAACACUUCAUGGAUGUCAUAAAAAGCGCACCUCUAGACAAAGAAGGGGACCCUAAUGCCUAUUCUAUUACUCUGAGACAUUCAUUUCGUCGUUGGCAGCUUACUUCUUGCAUCAGGCAGCUCUUUGGACAAGUAUGAUGGUGAUGUCGGCAGGCAUGGUGAAGGGCUCCCUUAUCAGAACUUCUCAAAGAAAUUUGCCAAGAUAUCGGAGAAAAAAAGCCAGAAUUUCACACGAGACAACAAGACACAGGGAGUGAUGGAAAAGAGUCAGUGGGACUUGAAAAAAAUCCGCUUUAAAGGAAGACGACUGACCAAACUAGAUGACUUCAUUAACACUUACAAAGACACUCGCAGAGCUCAUUUAAGGGAAUUUCAUGACUCGCAACGAAUCACGAAAAGAAAGAUGAGAUAUCUUACAGAAGGUUUUAUAUAAAAAAGAGGUUAUACUUGACAAGGAUGUUAAUUUAUCACCAUAUUACUACAGAGACUAAAACAUUGUCCAUGCUUCAAGCACAAUAUGUCACAGAGUGCAAUUCAAGUUUGUUUUGUGUUUCACAAUCUACAAAAAAAUCUUGGGAAGUGUUUUUGGACUAUUGAUAGUUUGUCUCUGUGUCACACAGUAGUGUGAGGUCCGAUUAUACCAGCGGGUACUGCUGUUAAGAAAGGCACAGGAUAGUUACAAAGAGUUGUGAAGUUAUUUUAUUUGUAAUGUCCUUUUUCAAAACAGUGACAACAGCUGUUGUUUUAGGAUGCCAAUAAAACAGUCCAUCCUUUUAAAUAAAAAAGGGAGGGAGGCUACUCGAGUACAAGGCCUAUGCCAUGAAUUUGAGCCUUCAGAAUGUAAUCAGCAGUCAAUGGAAUGUGGAAAGCACAUUCAUAUGUUAUCAUUCAUAUGAUUUACCAUAUGAUGCAAUUUUCAGGUGGCUGCAGCUCCGGUGACUACAACCCAAGCUCCAGCUGCUAACCAAUCGGCAUCACUGCCAGCUACGGACAUUGGGGACCAAAAGCCAGUUACCAAGGAGACACAUGAUUUGAAGGAAGAAAAAGCCAGGACAAAAGCAAAGGAGCCAUGGACCACUUUGGACAAAACACUCACCAGAGGAAGUCAUCCCAGCCAUCAAAUUACACAAACCACAAUUCAUUCACCAAGACCAAAUGCUAAGCAUCCUAGACCACAAAACGUGGCUCAGCAGUGACGAAGUGGAUUCAGCCUGUUUUCAUCUAGCGCAGAAGUUCCCUGAUGUGGAUGCGCUUCAGUCCUGCCUUUGCUACCAGGCCCUUCACCAGGGAGGUGUGGUUGGGACACCAGAAAAGUCAUUUGUGCAAAUAUUAAAUGUAAAUGACAACCACUGGAUCACGGCAAGCAAUAUUUUCUGUGUACCCAAUGAGCUUUGCAUUUAUGACAGUCUGAACACAAACAUCAACAAGAAGACUAAGCAAAAACUCUCCUGGUUAAUUCGUCCACAAGCACCUCACUUCCUCAUUAGAAGGCCUGCCGUGCAGAAGCAGCAGUCAGCUAGCAGUUGUGGACUUUUUGCAUUGCCUUUUGUGCCAGCGUCAUGUGAGGGAGUCAGGCCAGAGGAGUGCCACUUUCAAGAGAACAACAUGUGACAAAGACUGUACAGAGCUUUGCUGAACAAAAUGGCUCCAGGCUUUCCGUAUAAAAACAUGAAGGCAAAGCCUGAAAGGGCUUCAGUUCAGGUUGAAGUUCACUGCAUCUGCAGGACCUCACACAACAGAGAGGUGAUGGUGCAGUGCAGCAACUGCAGUACUUGGUACCACCCCAAUUGUGUGUCUGUCCCACACCAAGCUUUGGACAGUACUGCAGAAGAGUGGAACUGUGAAAGAUGCAGUGAUCAAGAGUGAAAGUUGUGGGGCCUGGCCCUGGUCCUGCCGCCCUUGGGGCACGGUCGUUCACUCUGUGUCGUGUGUGAUGUGGUGUGGUGUGGUGUGGUUGUGUUCAUGGGGCUUCUGUUCAUGUGUUGCCUUUUGCUGUUGUUGUUGGUUGCUUCAGUUUUGCUAUAUGAUGAUGUUCUGAUGAAAGUUGUUUCUGGAAGAUUUCAGAAGUUAUUCAAUAAAAACAUUGUAAUGUA